AUUGAACGCUGGCGGCAUGCCUUACACAUGCAAGUCGAACGGCAGCACGGGAGCAAUCCUGGUGGCGAGUGGCGAACGGGUGAGUAAUAUAUCGGAACGUGCCCAGUCGUGGGGGAUAACGCAGCGAAAGCUGUGCUAAUACCGCAUACGAUCUACGGAUGAAAGCGGGGGAUCGCAAGACCUCGCGCGAUUGGAGCGGCCGAUAUCAGAUUAGCUAGUUGGUGGGGUAAAGGCCCACCAAGGCGACGAUCUGUAGCUGGUCUGAGAGGACGACCAGCCACGCGGGAGCUGAGACAAGGUCCAGACUCCUACGGGAGGCAGCAGUGGGGAAUUUUGGACAAUGGGCGCAAGCCUGAUCCAGCAAUGCCGCGUGCAGGAUGAAGGCCUUGGGGUUGUAAACUGCUUUUGUACGGAACGAAACGGCCCUUUCUAAUACAGGGGGCCAAUGACGGUACCGUAAGAAUAAGCACCGGCUAACUACGUGCCAGCCGCCGCUGUAA
This 500-nucleotide ribosomal RNA is filed under the name uncultured bacterium. Its description in RNAcentral is "partial 16S ribosomal RNA". It matches the Rfam family "Bacterial small subunit ribosomal RNA", at positions 29 to 523 of the family's 1533-position model. The record is from RNAcentral.